ACCGGCGAUUUCCGAAUGGGGAAACCCAGUGUGAUUCGUCACACUAUCAUUAACUGAAUCCAUAGGUUAAUGAGGCGAACCGGGGGAACUGAAACAUCUAAGUACCCCGAGGAAAAGAAAUCAACCGAGAUUCCCCCAGUAGCGGCGAGCGAACGGGGAGGAGCCCAGAGCCUGAAUCAGUGUGUGUGUUAGUGGAAGCGUCUGGAAAGGCGUGCGAUACAGGGUGACAGCCCCGUACACAAAAAUGCACAUACUGUGAGCUCGAUGAGUAGGGCGGGACACGUGGUAUCCUGUCUGAAUAUGGGGGGACCAUCCUCCAAGGCUAAAUACUCCUGACUGACCGAUAGUGAACCAGUACCGUGAGGGAAAGGCGAAAAGAACCCCGGCGAGGGGAGUGAAAAAGAACCUGAAACCGUGUACGUACAAGCAGUGGGAGCCUCUUAAUGGGGUGACUGCGUACCUUUUGUAUAAUGGGUCAGCGACUUAUAUUCUGUAGCAAGGUUAACCGAAUAGGGGAGCCGAAGGGAAACCGAGUCUUAACUGGGCGUUAAGUUGCAGGGUAUAGACCCGAAACCCGGUGAUCUAGCCAUGGGCAGGUUGAAGGUUGGGUAACACUAACUGGAGGACCGAACCGACUAAUGUUGAAAAAUUAGCGGAUGACUUGUGGCUGGGGGUGAAAGGCCAAUCAAACCGGGAGAUAGCUGGUUCUCCCCGAAAGCUAUUUAGGUAGCGCCUCGUGAAUUCAUCUCCGGGGGUAGAGCACUGUUUCGGCAAGGGGGUCAUCCCGACUUACCAACCCGAUGCAAACUGCGAAUACCGGAGAAUGUUAUCACGGGAGACACACGGCGGGUGCUAACGUCCGUCGUGAAGAGGGAAACAACCCAGACCGCCAGCUAAGGUCCCAAAGUCAUGGUUAAGUGGGAAACGAUGUGGGAAGGCCCAGACAGCCAGGAUGUUGGCUUAGAAGCAGCCAUCAUUUAAAGAAAGCGUAAUAGCUCACUGGUCGAGUCGGCCUGCGCGGAAGAUGUAACGGGGCUAAACCAUGCACCGAAGCUGCGGCAGCGACACUAUGUGUUGUUGGGUAGGGGAGCGUUCUGUAAGCCUGUGAAGGUGUACUGUGAGGUAUGCUGGAGGUAUCAGAAGUGCGAAUGCUGACAUAAGUAACGAUAAAGCGGGUGAAAAGCCCGCUCGCCGGAAGACCAAGGGUUCCUGUCCAACGUUAAUCGGGGCAGGGUGAGUCGACCCCUAAGGCGAGGCCGAAAGGCGUAGUCGAUGGGAAACAGGUUAAUAUUCCUGUACUUGGUGUUACUGCGAAGGGGGGACGGAGAAGGCUAUGUUGGCCGGGCGACGGUUGUCCCGGUU
Molecule: ribosomal RNA, 1362 nt
Filed under: Escherichia coli
Lineage: Bacteria; Pseudomonadati; Pseudomonadota; Gammaproteobacteria; Enterobacterales; Enterobacteriaceae
Description: partial 23S ribosomal RNA
Rfam family: Bacterial large subunit ribosomal RNA
Source: RNAcentral